RNAcentral lists this unclassified non-coding RNA (240 nucleotides) under soil metagenome. Its description in RNAcentral is "partial contains 5.8S ribosomal RNA, internal transcribed spacer 2, and large subunit ribosomal RNA". The record is from RNAcentral.
AAGACUAUAGACCUGCGGAGUACCUGCGGAAGGAUCGUUACCGAGUUUACAACUCCCAAACCCAAUGUGAACGUUACCAAACUGUUGCCUCGGCGGGAUCUCUGCCCCGGGUGCGUCGCAGCCCCGGACCAAGGCGCCCGCCGGAGGACCAACCAAAACUCUUUUGUAUACCCCCUCGCGGGUUUUUUAUAUCUGAGCCAUCUCGGCGCCUCUCGUAGGCGUUUCGAAAAUGAAUCAAAA